This 312-nucleotide ribosomal RNA is filed under the name Triticum aestivum (bread wheat). RNAcentral describes it as "partial small subunit ribosomal RNA". Lineage: Eukaryota; Viridiplantae; Streptophyta; Magnoliopsida; Poales; Poaceae. The record is from RNAcentral.
GAAGUACCAGUGGUAAGGGAUUUCCCCGAUGUAUUUCCAGAAGAGUUGCCCGGCAUGCCACCGGAUAGAGACAUUGAGUUCUUAAUUGAACUACUGCCAGGCAUUGGGCCUAUAUCCAAGAGACCGUACAGGAUGCCAGCCCAAGACUUGGAGGAAAUCAAGAAGCAGAUUAAGGAGUUGUUGGAUAAAGGUUUUAUUCGCCCAAGUUCUUCGCCUUGGGGAUCGCCAGUACUUCUGGUGGAAAAGAAGGAUGGAUCGUUAAGAAUGGUUGUUGAUUAUCGCGGAUUGAAUGAAGUAACAAUCAAGAACAAG